Molecule: RNase P RNA, 311 nt
Filed under: Betaproteobacteria bacterium
Lineage: Bacteria; Pseudomonadati; Pseudomonadota; Betaproteobacteria
Description: RNase P RNA component class A
Rfam family: Bacterial RNase P class A
About the family: Ribonuclease P (RNase P) is a ubiquitous endoribonuclease, found in archaea, bacteria and eukarya as well as chloroplasts and mitochondria. Its best characterised activity is the generation of mature 5'-ends of tRNAs by cleaving the 5'-leader elements of precursor-tRNAs.
Source: RNAcentral
GAAGCGCGCCAGACAGUCGCUGUGGUCAAACACAGAGGAAAGUCCGGACUCCACAGGGCAGGGUAGUGGGUAAUACCCAUCCACCGCAAGGUGCGGAUCAGAGCAACAGAGACGAGUCUGUCCCGGGCAACUGGGACAGGGUGAAACGGGCAAUCUCUACCCGGAGCAAACCCAAAUAGGCAGGCGUUGAGGCGGCCCGCGGAGCCUGCGGGUAGGGCGCUAGAGGUUUGCGGCAACGCAAAUCCCAGAGGAAUGACUGUCAUAGCACGCAAGUGCCGUAACAGAAUCCGGCUUACCGGCGCGCUUCCAAU